RNAcentral lists this ribosomal RNA (520 nucleotides) under uncultured bacterium. Its description in RNAcentral is "bacterial SSU rRNA". It matches the Rfam family "Bacterial small subunit ribosomal RNA", at positions 153 to 664 of the family's 1533-position model. The record is from RNAcentral.
GAAAGGAUGGCUAAUACCGCGUACGUCCGGGACCUCUUUGGGGGACCCGGAGAAAGCGGCGCAAGUCGCACCAGAGGAAGGGCCCGCCUACCAUUAGCUAGUUGGUGGGGUAAUGGCCUACCAAGGCGUCGAUGGUUAGCUGGUCUGAGAGGAUGAUCAGCCACACUGGGACUGAGACACGGCCCAGACACCUACGGGAGGCAGCAGUGGGGAAUUUUGCGCAAUGGGCGGAAGCCUGACGCAGCAACGCCGCGUGUGUGAUGAAGGCCUUCGGGUUGUAAAGCACUGUCUAGAAGGAAGAACAACCGGGGUUCACCCCUCGGCCUGACGGUACUUCUAAAGAAAGCACUGGCUAACUCCGUGCCAGCAGCCGCGGUAAUACGGAGAGUGCAAGCGUUGUUCGGAAUCAUUGGGCGUAAAGGGCGUCUAGGUGGCCUGGCAAGUCAGAUGUGAAAUCCCUCGGCUUAACCGAGGACGUGCAUUUGAAACUGCUAGGCUUGAGUGUCGGAAGGGGUUAGCG